ACGAACGCUGGCGGCGUGCUUAACACCUGCAAGUCGAACGGAAAGGCCCUGCUUUUGUGGGGUGCUCGAGUGGCGAACGGGCGAGUAACACGUGAGUAACCUGCCCUUGACUUUGGGAUAACUUCAGGAAACUGGGGCUAAUACCGGAUAGGAGCUCCUGCUGCAUGGUGGGGGUUGGAAAGUUUCGGCGGUUGGGGAUGGACUCGCGGCUUAUCAGCUUGUUGGUGGGGUAGUGGCUUACCAAGGCUUUGACGGGUAGCCGGCCUGAGAGGGUGACCGGCCACAUUGGGACUGAGAUACGGCCCAGACUCCUACGGGAGGCAGCAGUGGGGAAUAUUGCACAAUGGGCGGAAGCCUGAUGCAGCAACGCCGCGUGCGGGAUGACGGCCUUCGGGUUGUAAACCGCUUUCGCCUGUGACGAAGCGUGAGUGACGGUAAUGGGUAAAGAAGCACCGGCUAACUACGUG
Molecule: ribosomal RNA, 467 nt
Filed under: uncultured bacterium
Lineage: Bacteria
Description: partial 16S ribosomal RNA
Rfam family: Bacterial small subunit ribosomal RNA
Source: RNAcentral